GAUGAACGCUGGCGGCGUGCCUAAUACAUGCAAGUCGAGCGAACAGACGAGGAGCUUGCUCCUCUGACGUUAGCGGCGGACGGGUGGGUAACACGUGGAUAACCUACCUAUAAGACUGGGAUAACUUCGGGAAACCGGAGCUAAUACCGGAUAAUAUAUUGAACCGCAUGGUUCAAUAGUGAAAGACGGUUUUGCUGUCACUUAUAGAUGGAUCCGCGCCGCAUUAGCUAGUUGGUAAGGUAACGGCUUACCAAGGCGACGAUGCGUAGCCGACCUGAGAGGGUGAUCGGCCACACUGGAACUGAGACACGGUCCAGACUCCUACGGGAGGCAGCAGUAGGGAAUCUUCCGCAAUGGGCGAAAGCCUGACGGAGCAACGCCGCGUGAGUGAUGAAGGUCUUCGGAUCGUAAAACUCUGUUAUUAGGGAAGAACAAAUGUGUAAGUAACUAUGAACGUCUUGACGGUACCUAAUCAGAAAGCCACGGCUAACUACGUG
RNAcentral lists this ribosomal RNA (497 nucleotides) under uncultured bacterium. Its description in RNAcentral is "partial 16S ribosomal RNA". It matches the Rfam family "Bacterial small subunit ribosomal RNA", at positions 28 to 507 of the family's 1533-position model. The record is from RNAcentral.